AUUGAACGCUGGCGGCAGGCCUAACACAUGCAAUUCGACCUGAGUUGCGAACGGGUGAGUAACGCGUAGGAACCUGCCUCAUAGCGGGGGAUAACUAUUUGAAACGAUAGCUAAUACCGCAUACUGUGAGAUGGACCUUCGUUGUAUUAGCUAGUUGGUGAGGUAAAGGCGCACAAAGGCGACGAUACAUAGCCGACCUGAGAGGGGGACCAGCCACACUGGAACUGAGACACGGUCCAGACUCCUACGUGAGGCAGCAGUGGGGAAUAUUGGACAAUGGGCGAAAGCCUGAUCCAGCCAUGCCGCGUGUGUGAAGAAGGUCUUCGGAUUGUAAAGCACUUUAAGUUGGGAGGCGUUACCAACAGAAUAAGCACCGGCUAACUUCGUGCCAGCAGCCGCGGUAAUAC
RNAcentral lists this ribosomal RNA (407 nucleotides) under uncultured bacterium. RNAcentral describes it as "partial 16S ribosomal RNA". It matches the Rfam family "Bacterial small subunit ribosomal RNA", at positions 30 to 526 of the family's 1533-position model. The record is from RNAcentral.